UGGGGAAUUUUGGACAAUGGGCGCAAGCCUGAUCCAGCCAUGCCGCGUGCGGGAAGAAGGCCUUCGGGUUGUAAACCGCUUUGUCAGGGAAGAAAUCUUCUGAGUUAAUACCUCGGGAGGAUGACGGUACCUGAAGAAUAAGCACCGGCUAACUACGUGCCAGCAGCCGCGGUAAUACGUAGGGUGCAAGCGUUAAUCGGAAUUACUGGGCGUAAAGCGUGCGCAGGCGGUUUUGUAAGACAGAGGUGAAAUCCCCGGGCUCAACCUGGGAACUGCCUUUGUGACUGCAAGGCUUGAGUGCGGCAGAGGGGGAUGGAAUUCCGCGUGUAGCAGUGAAAUGCGUAGAUAUGCGGAGGAACACCGAUGGCGAAGGCAAUCCCCUGGGCCUGCACUGACGCUCAUGCACGAAAGCGUGGGGAGCAAACAGGAUUAGAUACCCUGGUAGUCCACGCCCUAAACGAUGUCAACUGGUUGUUGGGAAGGUUCCUUCUCAGUAACGUAGCUAACGCGUGAAGUUGACCGCCUGGGGAGUACGGCCGCAAGGUUGAAACUUAAAUGAAUUGACGGGGUCAUAGCUGUUUCCUG
RNAcentral lists this ribosomal RNA (585 nucleotides) under uncultured bacterium. RNAcentral's name for it is "partial 16S ribosomal RNA". It matches the Rfam family "Bacterial small subunit ribosomal RNA", at positions 355 to 1376 of the family's 1533-position model. The record is from RNAcentral.